This 281-nucleotide long non-coding RNA is filed under the name Salvia miltiorrhiza (redroot sage). RNAcentral's name for it is "long non-coding RNA (SMIL_LNC011711)". Lineage: Eukaryota; Viridiplantae; Streptophyta; Magnoliopsida; Lamiales; Lamiaceae. The record is from RNAcentral.
GGGCACAAAUGUUAUCAAUUAUAUGAAGAUAUUUGUUAUGUAUUUACUUCUAUUUUAGAAAGAGCCUAUUAAAAUGAGACGUCCAAUAAAGAAAUAUGGCCUAUUAGUGUCAGACGGAUGAAGCAUAAUAUACGAAACUGAUUUUUUUUUUUUUUGUAAUGUAUGAAAAGGAGUUCUAAUGUAAACAUUUUUUUCAUCAAAUUUUUUCUCUCCUCUCCUCUUCUCUUUUUUUUUUGAUUUUUUUUAAUUGUCAACUUUGAUUCAUGAAAAAAAUAUUCAAC